This is a long non-coding RNA of Zalophus californianus (California sea lion), 1635 nucleotides long. Lineage: Eukaryota; Metazoa; Chordata; Mammalia; Carnivora; Otariidae. The record is from Ensembl.
AUAUUUUCACAUGUCACAAAAUAUUACUCUCAUUUGGAUUUUUUUCCCCAGCCAUUGAAGAGGCAUCUGGAGCUUGCAGGAUCUUCAAAAACAGGCACACUUGGAUUUGGUCUGCAAACCUGAUUUUGCCCACCCUUGCUCUAGACCAACAGAGAAAGCACAAUAUGGUAUUUUUCCCAGUUUGAGAGGCUCUCUUCAGUGUAUUUAUUUUGUUUGCUCUGUAUGUUCUUUUUUUCUGCCAUUAACAUCCUCUUUCCUAACAGGAGGCGCUUUGAUUCCCAGAAAAUAGACUUUCAAAGGAUAAACCAGCUUGCUGUUGGGGUUAUUUUCAUCACUCCAAGGGAGGGACCUUAUACGAGAUGGAUUCAACUCAGGAAGCAUGUUCUGGUUUCCGAGAACUUUGGGGUUCAGAUGAUUCCUUUUACACAGCAGAAAAUAAUGCUGUGUACAGUACAUGGACUAGAUUAUUUCGUAAGUAUGUCCAUACUGUGGUCUCUAAAUACCAUUCCCACAAAAAAGAAAGCAGGCUUCUUGGAGGAAAAGCUGAUUCCAGGUCUGGAGCAAGAAAGAUGCAAGAUGAACCGCAACAGCUCAUUAGACUGAACAGCAGGGGAAGUCAUGAUGAGGACUGAGGUUGUGUCUGGAGCGCUCAGGAGCCAACCUGGAGAGGCUCCCACAGGCCAAAGAUGGGACAAAUGGAGCAUCGAGAGGGAGAAUAACUAUGAUGGAUAGAAACACAACAUAUGUUAAAAGAAAUGAGUUCAUAAUAGCAAGCAUAUACUAUCCUCCUUUGGAGUGCCCUAGGGAACCAGUCAUUAUUUUUUUAAAGUGACAGUAGAGGAAAAGAGACAGACACUUACUUUGCCUCUGUCACAUAAACUCCUCUUCUAGUUAAGUGAAGAAAUGAUGAGUUUCUCGUUAUAGGUGUAUUCCAGAAAAUAAAUGAAGAAGGGGUGCUAGAAUCUGGAAGGCAUCGUUUUGCAACAUUGAACAUACCAGUGGAUUUCAGCAAUGAUCAUCAACAGCUGCCAACAUCACAAAAAGAGGGACAACCUGACAUGAAGCGCCUCUUGAAGGAAGUUCACCACACCUCCUAUGAAGUCGUCUUGUCCCCCCCAGCCCCUGGCCAAAAUCAAAUCAAAAUCUGACAGUGCCUCUAAAUCUAGCUACCGGUUUACAGAAGUACAGACAACAGAGGAACAUGUGCAGAGACACCACAGAGACACACUCAGCAAAAUCCAGACGGUGGGGUUUUUGCCAGACUGACAACCCAAUUGAUUCUUCAAAAAUUCAUUUCAAAGGAAAGAAGAAACUGUGACAGAGGCUGAACCUAUAGAUUAAAAGGGACUUAAGAGGGGUGCCCGGGUGGCUCAGCCAUUAAGCAUCUGCCUUCGGCUCAGGUCAUGAUCCCAGGGUUCUGGGAUGGAGCCCCGCAUCGGGCUCCCUGCUCAGUGGGAAGCCUGCUUCUCCCUCUCCCACUCCCCCUGCUUGUGUUCCCUCGCUCUCUGUCAAAUAAAUAAAUAAAAUCUUUAAAAAAAUAAAAUAAAAAAUAGAAGUGACUUAAGAGACAUAUUAACUAAUUAUAAUGUAUGUUCAGGAAAUUUGAACACCAAUUGGUUAUCUGAUGAUAUUAAG